RNAcentral lists this ribosomal RNA (263 nucleotides) under uncultured bacterium. Its description in RNAcentral is "partial 16S ribosomal RNA". It matches the Rfam family "Bacterial small subunit ribosomal RNA", at positions 793 to 1055 of the family's 1533-position model. The record is from RNAcentral.
GUCCACGCCGUAAACGAUGGAUGCUAGGUGUGGGAGGUAUCGACCCCUUCCGUGCCGCAGUUAACGCAAUAAGCAUCCCGCCUGGGGAGUACGGCCGCAAGGUUGAAACUCAAAGGAAUUGACGGGGGCCCGCACAAGCAGCGGAGCAUGUGGUUUAAUUCGACGCAACGCGAAGAACCUUACCAGGACUUGACAUCUGAUUAAGCUUGUGGAAACACAAGGUCCCUUCGGGGGAAUCAAGACAGGUGGUGCAUGGUUGUCGU